This 517-nucleotide ribosomal RNA is filed under the name uncultured bacterium. RNAcentral describes it as "bacterial SSU rRNA". It matches the Rfam family "Bacterial small subunit ribosomal RNA", at positions 28 to 529 of the family's 1533-position model. The record is from RNAcentral.
GACGAACGCUGGCGGCGUGCCUAAUACAUGCAAGUCGAGCGGAAGUUGAAGAGCUUGCUCUUCAACUUUAGCGGCGGACGGGUGAGUAACACGUGGGCAACCUGCCCUGCAGAUCGGGAUAACUCCGGGAAACCGGUGCUAAUACCGAAUAGUUUUCGCCACCUCCUGGUGGCGUACGGAAAGACGGUUUCGGCUGUCACUGCAGGAUGGGCCCGCGGCGCAUUAGCUAGUUGGUGGGGUAACGGCCCACCAAGGCGACGAUGCGUAGCCGACCUGAGAGGGUGAUCGGCCACACUGGGACUGAGACACGGCCCAGACUCCUACGGGAGGCAGCAGUAGGGAAUCUUCCGCAAUGGACGAAAGUCUGACGGAGCAACGCCGCGUGAGUGACGAAGGUUUUCGGAUCGUAAAACUCUGUUGUGAGGGAAGAACAAGUACCAACUAACUACUGGUACCUUGACGGUACCUCACCAGAAAGCCACGGCUAACUACGUGCCAGCAGCCGCGGUAAUACGUA